This is a long non-coding RNA of Bos taurus (domestic cattle), 1063 nucleotides long. NCBI's taxonomy places the organism in Eukaryota, Metazoa, Chordata, Mammalia, Artiodactyla, Bovidae. The record is from Ensembl.
GGUUAUACAACAGUGUGAGUGUGCUUAACGUCACAGAACUGUUCCCUUAAACACGGUUAAAAUGGUAAAUGUUACGUUAUAAGAUGGGGCUAGUGUGGUAAAGAACCUGUUGGCGAAUACAGGAGACCUAAGUGAUGUGGAAUUUUAUUCCUGAGUCAGGAAGAUCCCCUGCAGAAGGGCUUGGCAACCCACUCCAGUAUUCUUGCCUGGAGAGUCCCCAUGGACAGAGGAGCCUGGCGGGCUAUAGUCCAUGGGGUCACAAAGAGUCAAACACAACUGAAGCUGAAUGCAUGAACACACUGAAGAAGCUGAUAAGCAACUGACUUCCAUUUAGUUAUGUUAAGCAAGGUGGAAGGGAAGAAAUCCGCUUGGUGCCAUCAUGCUGGAGGUUUGCGGACAAAUCUCAGCUUAGAACCCAGGUGAACUGGCUCCCGACCCCAUACAGUGCCCUAGAGGCACUGUCAUUCCCCAGAGAGGAGCAGGUAGACGUCUGGGACAUGUCCAAGCUUUGGGCUCCUGAUGUAGGCCUUGGGAGAAGACACCUCUAAGGCGCCUUAGCUAGGCCUCUCCUCCCCUGACUGGAGCGUCUGAACUUACUAUGGGCAUUGAAAGUUACCAUUCCGCGGCCAAAAAGGGAUAAACUCAACUGGCUGUGAUUCAGGACUGAAAAAGGAAAGCUUCAUCUUCACCUGCGAGCAUCCUUUCACCUUCCUCCUCCACCCAGGAAAUGCAACGAACGCCGUCUCUGGGGUCGCACAGAGUCGGACACGACUGAAGCGACUUAGCAGCAGCAGCAACUGGGUCAGAGGUUUCUUUCCUCCCCACGCCCAUCCCACCUCCUAAUGCAGUGCAGGCGUGGAAGCGGUCCCUCCAGGCACUGAGAGGAGGGCUGACAUCAAUAGAACCCAACUAGCAAGGUUGUUCGGAGAAGGCAAUGACACCCCACUCCAGUACUCUUGCCUGGAAAAUCCCAUGGAUGGAGAAGCGACCAUGGGGUCGCUAAGAGUUGGACACGACUGAGCGACUUCACUUUCACUUUUCACUUUCAUGCAUUGGAGAAGGA